GCCGCGGUAAAACCAGCACCUCAAGUGGUCAGGAGGAUUAUUGGGCCUAAAGCAUCCGUAGCCUGUUCUAUAAGUUUGCGGUUAAAUCUAUAUGCUCAACGUAUAGGCUGCCGUAAAUACUGUAGAACUAGGGAGUGGGAGAGGUAGACGGUACUCGGUAGGAAGGGGUAAAAUCCUUUGAUCUAUCGAUGACCACCUGUGGCGAAGGCGGUCUACCAGAACACGUUCGACGGUGAGGGAUGAAAGCUGGGGGAGCAAACCGGAUUAGAUACCCGGGUAGUCCCAGCUGUAAACGAUGCAGACUCGAUGAUGCAAUGGCAUAGAGCUAUUGCAGUAUCGCAGGGAAGCCGUUAAGUCUGCCGCCUGGGAAGUACGUACGCAAGUAUGAAACUUAAAGGAAUUGGCGGGGGAGCACGGUCAUAGCUGGUUUCCUGA
This 435-nucleotide ribosomal RNA is filed under the name crenarchaeote SCGC AAA288-P02. RNAcentral describes it as "SSU rRNA". It matches the Rfam family "Archaeal small subunit ribosomal RNA", at positions 464 to 899 of the family's 1478-position model. Lineage: Archaea; Thermoproteati; Thermoproteota. The record is from RNAcentral.